AGUGUUGAAUUUCUCUUUCCCCUAUCCCAAGAACAAGAAGAAGAGCAUAAAAAUUUAUUUUAUGUUUCUACCCGUUAGUCUAGCAUCAGCAUCCAGUAGGGGUGAGGCAGGAGUAAGGAAAAACAUUUACUAUAAAUGUUACCUUUUUCUGAAAUUGAGGAAGGGUACUCUCACCACCUUGCCUUCUAAGUAUUUUUUAACCUAUAGUUUCUAAGGGAGGAUGUAAUCUGUUCUGUUUCUCUGUUUCUCAUUAGCAUUAUUGCAAUGUUAUACAUUGAACACUCUGUAGAGGGUUUUACAUAGUCUCAUUUGUAGUUAUCUUUUUUCAAAAAUUACUAUUUCAGGCCAUUGAUUGUGAUUGGUGGUUCCUCUGAAAGAAAUCAAGAAACAAUGGGAGCCUUCCAGGAGUUUCCUCAGGUGGAAGCUUGUAGACUAUAUAGCAAGUUCUCUGUCCGGCCAAGUAGCAUAGAAGCUAUUCCCACUGUUAUUGAAAAGGCAGUAAGAAGCAGUAUCUACGGUCGUCCAGGUGCUUGUUAUGUUGACAUACCUGCAGAUUUUGUGACCCACCAGGUGAAUGUGAAUUCUGUAAAGUGAGUAAAAAAAAAAAAAAAUUUUUUUUUUUUUUUUUGGUACCAGGGGUUGAAGUA
Ictidomys tridecemlineatus (thirteen-lined ground squirrel) is the source of this 647-nucleotide non-coding RNA. NCBI's taxonomy places the organism in Eukaryota, Metazoa, Chordata, Mammalia, Rodentia, Sciuridae. The record is from RefSeq and is a predicted model, not a curated record.